CUACCAUGCAGUCGAACGGUGAAGCCCCGCUUGCGGGGUGGAUCAGUGGCGAACGGGUGAGUAACACGUGAGCAACCUGCCCUGGACUCUGGGAUAAGCGCUGGAAACGGCGUCUAAUACUGGAUAUGAGCUCUCAUCGCAUGGUGGGGGUUGGAAAGAUUUUUUGGUCUGGGAUGGGCUCGCGGCCUAUCAGCUUGUUGGUGAGGUAAUGGCUCACCAAGGCGUCGACGGGUAGCCGGCCUGAGAGGGUGACCGGCCACACUGGGACUGAGACACGGCCCAGACUCCUACGGGAGGCAGCAGUGGGGAAUAUUGCACAAUGGGCGGAAGCCUGAUGCAGCAACGCCGCGUGAGGGAUGACGGCCUUCGGGUUGUAAACCUCUUUUAGCAAGGAAGAAGCUUUUGUGACGGUACUUGCAGAAAAAGCGCCGGCUAACUACGUGCCAGCAGCCGCGGUAAUACGUAGGGCGCAAGCGUUAUCCGGAAUUAUUGGGCGUAAAGAGCUCGUAGGCGGUUUGUCGCGUCUGCUGUGAAAUCCCGAGGCUCAACCUCGGGCCUGCAGUGGGUACGGGCAGACUAGAGUGCGGUAGGGGAGAUUGGAAUUCCUGGUGUAGCGGUGGAAUGCGCAGAUAUCAGGAGGAACACCGAUGGCGAAGGCAGAUCGCUGGGCCUUAACUGACGCUGAAGAGCGGAAGGUUGGGGAGCAAACAGGCNUNGAUACCCUNNUACUCCACCCCGUNNAAG
Molecule: ribosomal RNA, 744 nt
Filed under: Microbacterium sp.
Lineage: Bacteria; Bacillati; Actinomycetota; Actinomycetes; Micrococcales; Microbacteriaceae
Description: bacterial SSU rRNA
Rfam family: Bacterial small subunit ribosomal RNA
Source: RNAcentral